UACGUAGGGUGCAAGCGUUGCCCGGAUUUAUUGGGCGUAAAGAGCGCGUAGGCGGUCCGGUAAGUCAGCUGUGAAAGUCAGGGGCUCAACCCUUGAAAGCCGGUUGAUACUGUCGGGCUAGAGUCCGGAAGAGGCGAGUGGAAUUCCCGGUGUAGCGGUGAAAUGCGCAGAUAUCGGGAGGAACACCAAUGGCGAAGGCAGCUCGCUGGGACGGUACUGACGCUGAGGCGCGAAAGCGUGGGGAGCAAACAGG
This 253-nucleotide ribosomal RNA is filed under the name uncultured bacterium. Its description in RNAcentral is "partial 16S ribosomal RNA". It matches the Rfam family "Bacterial small subunit ribosomal RNA", at positions 524 to 776 of the family's 1533-position model. The record is from RNAcentral.